UACGUAGGGGGCAAGCGUUAUCCGGAUUUACUGGGUGUAAAGGGAGCGUAGACGGCAUAGCAAGUCUGAAGUGAAAGCCCGUGGCUCAACCGCGGAACUGCUUUGGAAACUGUUAAGCUGGAGUACUGGAGAGGCAAGCGGAAUUCCUAGUGUAGCGGUGAAAUGCGUAGGUAUUAGGAGGAACACCAGUGGCGAAGGCGGCUUGCUGGACAGAGACUGACGUUGAGGCUCGAAAGCGUGGGGAGCAAACAGG
RNAcentral lists this ribosomal RNA (253 nucleotides) under uncultured bacterium. RNAcentral's name for it is "partial 16S ribosomal RNA". It matches the Rfam family "Bacterial small subunit ribosomal RNA", at positions 524 to 776 of the family's 1533-position model. The record is from RNAcentral.